This 737-nucleotide long non-coding RNA is filed under the name Homo sapiens (human). RNAcentral's name for it is "HSALNT0169324". Lineage: Eukaryota; Metazoa; Chordata; Mammalia; Primates; Hominidae. The record is from RNAcentral.
GGAGUCUUAUCACCCAGGCUGGAGUGCAGUUGCGCAAUCUCAGCUCACUGCAGCCUCUGUCUCCCGGGUUCAAGCAAUCCUCCCAGAAUGGAAGAGCAAUCUAUUUGCUCCUACUUGGAAAAGAUUCUUUCUAAAAAUAUGGAACUGAUGGAAAAGAAACUUAUGGAUUACAUUGAUCAGCGAAUACAUGAACUCCAGGAGCACAUUGAUGAUAAGAUUGCUUUGUUACUGGAUUUGCUGCAAAAUCCUAACUCCCCGCCCACUGGGAUACCUCUAAGACAUUAUGACUCUGGAGAAAGACUUUCAAAUGGAGAAAGAUAAGCUCUCAACAUAAACAGUAAACAGGAUGCCUGUGAUGAAAAGUUCCUUUUGUAACCAGUCCAGAGGAGACUGGUUACAACCACGAUAGCUGACCAAACGACUUUAAAAAGACCUCAGCCUUUUUAUAAUCUUAUUUCUGUGCUAAAUAACGCUCCUGCUAGCUCCAUGACAGUUGACAAUCGCCAUGACAGUGACCAGAAGAAGCCAUGAAAGGACAAAAAGGAAGGCAGCACUCUGGUUUUAGGAAGUUCACUGCCCAUUUCUGAAAAAUCCAGGAAUAUUCCUCCCUUUGCUUGAAUGUGAAACACCUUUAUUAGAAAAAUUAUAUUUUAACCCCCUCACUCCUCAUUAGUUGAAAAGUUGAUUUGUGAGCCAUACUCCUGCUUCUCAAUUCAGUGGCGAUUGAAUAAAACCUG